This 468-nucleotide ribosomal RNA is filed under the name uncultured organism. Its description in RNAcentral is "partial 16S ribosomal RNA". It matches the Rfam family "Bacterial small subunit ribosomal RNA", at positions 334 to 798 of the family's 1533-position model. The record is from RNAcentral.
CACUCCUACGGGAGGCAGCAGUGAGGAAUAUUGGACAAUGGGUGGAAGCCUGAUCCAGCCAUCCCGCGUGCAGGAAGACGGCCCUAUGGGUUGUAAACUGCUUUUAUCUGGGGAUAAACCUACUUACGUGUAAGUAGCUGAAGGUACCAGAAGAAUAAGCACCGGCUAACUCCGUGCCAGCAGCCGCGGUAAUACGGAGGGUGCAAGCGUUAUCCGGAUUUAUUGGGUUUAAAGGGUCCGUAGGCGGACUGAUAAGUCAGUGGUGAAAUCCGACAGCUUAACUGUCGAACUGCCAUUGAUACUGUUAGUCUUGAGUAAGGUUGAAGUGGCUGGAAUAAGUAGUGUAGCGGUGAAAUGCAUAGAUAUUACUUAGAACACCAAUUGCGAAGGCAGGUCACUAAGUCUUAACUGACGCUGAUGGACGAAAGCGUGGGGAGCGAACAGGAUUAGAAACCCCUGUAGUCCCAU